Long non-coding RNA from Crotalus tigris (Tiger rattlesnake), 767 nucleotides. RefSeq lists it as uncharacterized. NCBI's taxonomy places the organism in Eukaryota, Metazoa, Chordata, Lepidosauria, Squamata, Viperidae. The transcript is spliced from 3 exons. The record is from RefSeq and is a predicted model, not a curated record.
GCAGAAGAGGCCUCAGAAGAAGUGGGCCGGCAAGGAGAGGCCUGGCUGCAAGGUGGAGCCCUGAUAGGGGGAACUGCCUGUCAAGCCCCUGCUAGCUUGCCACUAACGUCAUCCUGAUUUACACAACCAACAUGGCAGAACACACUCAAUUGGUCCGGCAGAUAUUAGACAAACUACUGAAGGCGCACUUAUACGUGAAACUUUCUAAGUGUGGAGCCCUGAUGGGGAAGCUGCCUGUCAAGCCCCUGCGGGCUUGCCACUAACCGGGAGGGAAAAGGGGUCACGGCUGCAACCGGAGCGGCGGUGGCUGGAGGCAGCAGCAGCGACAGCCCUCCCCCUUGUACCUGAAUGAUGGCCAGGGGCCGUUUGGAGUAUAGCUGGGAGGCCAUUGUGAUCGGAUGGCUGGGAGCCAGCUGCUGCCAGGUCAUCAUGCCGGAGGAUGGCUGCCAGUCAAACUUCCAGCUUUGCCAGCUCAGCUGUUCAGCAGUCCGCUGGAUGGCUGAUCGGCGCAGAUAAACAGGGAAUUUGAAACCAGCCCUCGCUUGCCCUGCUGCCACGGACCAAAGCCUAUGCCAGGCUGAUUGCUGAGAGCUGUGAACUGGGUUGUUGUUCCAGAUGCUGGUUAUGUGGGUGGGGGGAGGCCCGGGCGGGAUACGUCUAUUUAGCGUGCUAGGAGGCAGUUGCUUCCAGCACUGACUUUGUUUGCAUUUGUUUUGAGCUCGCAAGCCAGAGUGUACCUAAAUAAACCAGGUUUCCUUUGAACCCAA